Molecule: ribosomal RNA, 459 nt
Filed under: uncultured bacterium
Lineage: Bacteria
Description: partial 16S ribosomal RNA
Rfam family: Bacterial small subunit ribosomal RNA
Source: RNAcentral
CCUACGGGUGGCAGCAGUGAGGAAUAUUGGUCAAUGGCCGAGAGGCUGAACCAGCCAAGUCGCGUGAGGGAAGACGGCCCUACGGGUUGUAAACCUCUUUUGUCGGGGGGCAAAGCGAGUCACGUGUGAAUCAUUGAGAGUACCCGAUGAAAAAGCAUCGGCUAACUCCGUGCCAGCAGCCGCGGUAAUACGGAGGAUGCGAGCGUUAUCCGGAUUUAUUGGGUUUAAAGGGUGCGCAGGCGGAGGUGCAAGUCAGCGGUCAAAUUGCGGGGCUCAACCCCGUACUGCCGUUGACACGGCAGCCCUUGAGUGCGCGGGAAGUAUGCGGAAUGCGUGGUGUAGCGGUGAAAUGCAUAGAUAUCACGCAGAACUCCGAUUGCGAAGGCAGCAUACCGGCGCGCAACUGACGCUCAUGCACGAAAGCGUGGGUAUCGAACAGGAUUAGAUACCCGAGUAGUC